This 445-nucleotide ribosomal RNA is filed under the name uncultured Flexibacteraceae bacterium. Its description in RNAcentral is "bacterial SSU rRNA". It matches the Rfam family "Bacterial small subunit ribosomal RNA", at positions 28 to 483 of the family's 1533-position model. The record is from RNAcentral. Lineage: Bacteria; Pseudomonadati; Bacteroidota; Cytophagia; Cytophagales; Cytophagaceae.
GAUGAACGCUAGCGGCAGGCCUAAUACAUGCAAGUCGAACGGUGUCUUCGGACAUAGUGGCGCACGGGUGCGUAACACGUAUGCAACCUACCUUACAUUGGGGGAUAGCCUUUCGAAAGGGAGAUUAAUACCGCAUAAGACAGUAACUUGGCAUCAAGUAGCUGUUAAAGAUUUAUCGAUGUAAGCUGGGCAUGCGUCCAAUUAGCUAGUUGGUGAGGUAAUGGCUCACCAAGGCUAUGAUUGGUAGGGGAACUGAGAGGUCAAUCCCCCACACUGGCACUGAGAUACGGGCCAGACUCCUACGGGAGGCAGCAGUAGGGAAUAUUGGGCAAUGGACGCAAGUCUGACCCAGCCAUGCCGCGUGCAGGAUGAAGGCGUUAUGCGUUGUAAACUGCUUUUAUACAGGAAGAAACGACUCUUGCGAGAGGCAUUGACGGUACUGUAU